GACGAACGUUUGCGGCGUGCUUAACACAUGCAAGUCGAACGGAAAGGCCCUGCUUUUGUGGGGUGCUCGAGUGGCGAACGGGUGAGUAACACGUGAGUAACCUGCCCUUGACUUUGGGAUAACCUCAGGAAACUGGGGCUAAUACCGGAUAGGAGCUCCUGCUGCAUGGUGGGGGUUGGAAAGUUUCGGCGGUUGGGGAUGGACUCGCGGCUUAUCAGCUUGUUGGUGGGGUAGUGGCUUACCAAGGCUUUGACGGGUAGCCGGCCUGAGAGGGUGACCGGCCACAUUGGGACUGAGAUACGGCCCAGACUCCUACGGGAGGCAGCAGUGGGGAAUAUUGCACAAUGGGCGGAAGCCUGAUGCAGCAACGCCGCGUGCGGGAUGACGGCCUUCGGGUUGUAAACCGCUUUCGCCUGUGACGAAGCGUGAGUGACGGUAAUGGGUAAAGAAGCACCGGCUAACUACGUGCCAGCAGCCGCGGUGAUACGUAGGGUGCGAGCGUUGUCCGGAUUUAUUGGGCGUAAAGGGCUCGUAGGUGGUUGAUCGCGUCGGAAGUGUAAUCUUGGGGCUUAACCCUGAGCGUGCUUUCGAUACGGGUUGACUUGAGGAAGGUAGGGGAGAAUGGAAUUCCUGGUGGAGCGGUGGAAUGCGCAGAUAUCAGGAGGAACACCAGUGGCGAAGGCGGUUCUCUGGGCCUUUCCUGACGCUGAGGAGCGAAAGCGUGGGGAGCGAACAGGCUUAGAUACCCUGGUAGUCCACGCUGUAAACGGUGGGUACUAGGUGUGGGGUCCAUUCCACGGGUUCCGUGCCGUAGCUAACGCUUUAAGUACCCCGCCUGGGGAGUACGGCCGCAAGGCUAAAACUCAAAGGAAUUGACGGGGCCCCGCACAAGCGGCGGAGCAUGCGGAUUAAUUCGAUGCAACGCGUAGAACCUUACCUGGGUUUGACAUGGAUCGGGAGUGCUCAGAGAUGGGUGUGCCUCUUUUGGGGUCGGUUCACAGGUGGUGCAUGGCUGUCGUCAGCUCGUGUCGUGAGAUGUUGGGUUAAGUCCCGCAACGAGCGCAACCCUUGUUCACUGUUGCCAGCACGUUAUGGUGGGGACUCAGUGGAGACCGCCGGGGUCAACUCGGAGGAAGGUGGGGAUGACGUCAAGUCAUCAUGCCCCUUAUGUCCAGGGCUUCACGCAUGCUACAAUGGCUGGUACAGAGAGUGGCGAGCCUGUGAGGGUGAGCGAAUCUCGGAAAGCCGGUCUCAGUUCGGAUUGGGGUCUGCAACUCGACCUCAUGAAGUCGGAGUCGCUAGUAAUCGCAGAUCAGCAACGCUGCGGUGAAUACGUUCCCGGG
RNAcentral lists this ribosomal RNA (1343 nucleotides) under uncultured bacterium. Its description in RNAcentral is "16S ribosomal RNA". It matches the Rfam family "Bacterial small subunit ribosomal RNA", at positions 28 to 1378 of the family's 1533-position model. The record is from RNAcentral.